Molecule: ribosomal RNA, 405 nt
Filed under: uncultured bacterium
Lineage: Bacteria
Description: partial 16S ribosomal RNA
Rfam family: Bacterial small subunit ribosomal RNA
Source: RNAcentral
UCGGGAAUAUUGGGCAAUGGGCGAAAGCCUGACCCAGCAACGCCGCGUGAAGGAAGAAGGUUUUCGGAUUGUAAACUUCUGUGGCAGGGGAAAAACAUAAUGAUGGUACCCUGUUAGAAAGUCACGGCAAACUAUGUGCCAGCAGCCGCGGUAAUACAUAGGUGACAAGCGUUAUCCGGAAUAACUGGGCGUAAAGGGAGUGUAGGUGGUUUCUUAAGUUAGAUGUGAAAGACCCGGGCUUAACCCAGGAACUGCAUCUAAUACUGAGUGACUAGAGUGUGAGAGAGGUAAGUGGAAUUCCUAGUGUAGCGGUGGAAUGCGUAGAGAUUAGGAGGAACACCAGAGGCGAAAGCGACUUACUGGCUCAUUACUGACACUGAGGCUCGAAAGCGUGGGGAGCAAACA